Molecule: long non-coding RNA, 499 nt
Filed under: Salvia miltiorrhiza (redroot sage)
Lineage: Eukaryota; Viridiplantae; Streptophyta; Magnoliopsida; Lamiales; Lamiaceae
Description: long non-coding RNA (SMIL_LNC014242)
Source: RNAcentral
CCAAAUGUUCAUUAAUAAAAUAAAAUUUGAGCUCACACAUUUAAAUAAAUUAGGCCCAAGAAUUAGCAGCCCAACACCCAUUUCAUACCUCAUUUAAUCUCACUCUCUCUCUCCCUAAUUCAAUACACACACGCACACAGAAACACACUCAUACACGCACAAACCAGCGCACCCUCUCUCCCUCUCUCAGCCUUCCCGCUGCCGCCGCCGCCUGAAGACGGCGUCGCCCAGCGCCUUCCUUCUCUCUCCCAGCCUCCAUCUCUCUCCCUGACCCCUCUCACCCUCUCGACCAGUCGGCCACCGGUGAAGAGCGCCGGCGCCGCCCCUGUUCCAGCGAGCAGCCAGCCGCCGCCGUUACACCGGACGCCGUCUCCUCCAGCCCGGCGCUGUCCCCCUUCUCUUCUUUCUUCGGCCGGCAGCAACGACUGCUGUCGCCGUCACUUCGGCGGACAACAGAGCUGCUCCGCCGCCUCCUCCCCUUUACCCCAGAUCUGGCGCC